AAGAGUUUGAUCCUGGCUCAGAUUAAACGCUGGAGGUAUGCUUUACACAUGCAAGUUGAACGAUUUUUAAACAAAUAGUAGCAAACGGGUGAGUAAUAUAUUGGAACAUGCCUUUGAGAGGAAAAUAAGGAAAUGAAAAUUUCCGUAAAUUUCCAUAAAAUCACUUAAUUAAAAGUGAUAAAAGAAUACAAAAAUAUUUUUGUUUUUUGCUUAUAGAUUGGCCAAUACCAGAUUAGUUAGUUGUUAGUUUAAUAUACUUACAAGACAUUUAUCUGUAGCUGUUCUGAGAGGAAAAUCAGCCACAUUGGGACUGAGACAAGGCCCAAACUUCUACGGAAGGCAGCAGUGAGGAAUAUUGGACAAUGAGCGCAAGCUUGAUCCAGCAAUACCAAGUGUGCGAAGAAGGUUUAACUGUAAAGCACUUUUAUUUGGGAAUAAUUUACAUUGUAAUUGAAUGUACCAAAUGAAUAAGCACUGGCUAAUUACGUGCCAGCAGCCGCGGUAAUACGUAAAGUGCAAGCGUUAAUCGGAUUUAUUGGGCGUAAAGGGUGUGUAGACUGUUUAUUGUGAAAUAUGUGAAAUACUAUUAAAUAGUAAGCAUAUUUAACUAGUAUUCUUGAAUAUAAUAGGGGAGAGUAGAAUUUUGCAUGUAGUAGUGAAAUGCGCAAAUAUGCAAAGGAAUACCAAUAGCGAAGGCAACUCUCUGGGUUAAAAUUGACGUUGAAACACUAAAGCGUGGGUAGCAAACAGGAUUAGAUACCCUGGUAGUCCACGCCCUAAACGAUGUCAACUAGUUGUUAGAUUUAAUUUAAACCUAAAUUUAGUAACAAAGCUAACGCGUUAAGUUGACCGCCUGGGGAUUACGAUCGCAAGAUUAAAACUCAAAGGAAUUGACGGGGAUCCGCACAAGCGGUGGAUGAUGUGGAUUAAUUCGAUGUAACACGAAAAACCUUACCUACUUUUGACAUGUAUAGAAUUUAUUUGAAAAAAUAAAGUGCCAAGGAACUAUAACACAGGUGCUGCAUGGCUGUCGGCAGCUCGUGUCGUGAGAUGUUGGGUUAAGUCCUAUAACGAGCGAAACCCUUGUUUCAUGUAUGCUAUAAAGCACUCAUGAAAUACUGCCGAUUAAAAAUCGGAGGAAGGAGAGGAUGACGUCAAGUCCUCAUGGCCCUUAUAAGUAGGGCUUCACACAUCAUACAAUGGUUGAUACAAAUAGUUGCAAUUCUGCAAAGAUGAGCUAAUCUAACAAAAUCAAUCUCAGUUCGGAUUGCACUCUGAAACUCGAGUGCAUGAAGUUGGAAUCGCUAGUAAUCGCAAAUCAGCAUGUUGCGGUGAAUACGUUCUCGGAUCUUGUACACACCGCCCGUCACACCAUGGAAGUAGGUUUCGUUGGAAGUAAUCUAAAAGUUAUCAAUACGAAAUUUAUGACUGGGGUGAAGUCGUAACAAGGUAGCUGUACUGGAAGGUGCGGCUGGAU
Molecule: ribosomal RNA, 1477 nt
Filed under: Candidatus Vidania fulgoroideorum
Lineage: Bacteria; Pseudomonadati; Pseudomonadota; Betaproteobacteria
Description: bacterial SSU rRNA
Rfam family: Bacterial small subunit ribosomal RNA
Source: RNAcentral